CCUACGGGAGGCAGCAGUGAGGAAUAUUGGUCAAUGGCCGGAAGGCUGAACCAGCCAUGCCGCGUGAAGGUCAGUGCCCUAUGGGCGUUAAACUUCUUUUGUGCGGGAACAAUAAUGGUCACGUGUGGCCUGCCCAGAGUACCGUACGAAUAAGCAUCAGCUAACUCCGUCCCAGCAGCAGCGGCAAUACGGGGGAUGGAAGCGUUAUCCGGAUUUAUUGGGUUUAAAGGGUGCGUAGGCGGGGAGGUAAGUCAGCGGUGAAAUGCCCCCGCUCAACGGGGUGAAGUGCCAUUGAUACUGGCUUGCUGGAAUGCGGAUGCGGUGGGAGGAAUGUGUGGUGUAGCGGUGAAAUGCAUAGAUAUCACACAGAACACCGAUUGCGAAGGCAUCUCACGAAUCCGCGAUUGACGCUGAUGCACGAAAGCGUGGGUAUCAAACAGGAUUAGAUACCCUUGUAGUC
Molecule: ribosomal RNA, 460 nt
Filed under: uncultured bacterium
Lineage: Bacteria
Description: partial 16S ribosomal RNA
Rfam family: Bacterial small subunit ribosomal RNA
Source: RNAcentral